GGCGAGUGAAGCGGCAACAGCUCAAAUUUGAAAUCUGGCCCUUGGGUCCGAAUUGUAAUUUGUAGAGGAUGAUUUUGGUGCGGUAUCUUCCGAGUUCCUUGGAACAGGACGCCUUAGAGGGUGAGAGCCCCGUACGGUUGAAUGCCUAGCCUCUGUAAAUCUCCUUCGACGAGUCGAGUAGUUUGGGAAUGCUGCUCUAAAUGGGAGGUAAAUUUCUUCUAAAGCUAAAUAUUGGCCAGAGACCGAUAGCGCACAAGUAGAGUGAUCGAAAGAUGAAAAGCACUUUGAAAAGAGGGUUAAAUAGCACGUGAAAUUGUUGAAAGGGAAGGAUUUGUGACCAGACUUUUUCUGGGCGGAUCAUCCGGGGUUCUCUCCGGUGCACUUCGCCCAGUAAAGGCCAGCAUCGGUUUUCGGCGUGGGAUAAAAGCAGUAGGAAUGUGGCUCUCUACGGGGAGUGUUAUAGCCUAUUGUAUAAUACCGCGCUGGGGACCGAGGUUCGCGCUUCUGCAAGGAUGCUGGCGUAAUGGUUAUCAAUCACCCGUCUUGAAACACGGACCAAGGAGUCGAACAUUUGUGCGAGUGUUUGGGUGUUAAACCCUCACGCGUAAUGAAAGUGAACGGAGGUGAGAGCCCUUACGGGUGCAUCAUCGACCGAUCCUGAAGUUUUCGGAUGGAUUUGAGUAAGAGCAUAACUGUUCGGACCCGAAAGAUGGUGAACUAUGCGUGGAUAGGGUGAAGCCAGAGGAAACUCUGGUGGAGGCUCGCAGCGGUUCUGACGUGCAAAUCGAUCGUCAAAUCUGCGCAUGGGGGCGAAAGACUAAUCGAACCA
Molecule: ribosomal RNA, 829 nt
Filed under: Pestalotia aceris
Lineage: Eukaryota; Fungi; Ascomycota; Sordariomycetes; Amphisphaeriales; Amphisphaeriaceae
Description: eukaryotic LSU rRNA
Rfam family: Eukaryotic large subunit ribosomal RNA
Source: RNAcentral